RNAcentral lists this ribosomal RNA (491 nucleotides) under uncultured bacterium. RNAcentral describes it as "partial 16S ribosomal RNA". It matches the Rfam family "Bacterial small subunit ribosomal RNA", at positions 29 to 507 of the family's 1533-position model. The record is from RNAcentral.
GUGAACGCUGGCGGUAGGCCUAACACAUGCAAGUCGCACGGCAGCACAGUAAGAGCUUGCUCUUACGGGUGGCGAGUGGCGGACGGGUGAGGAAUACAUCGGAAUCUACUUUUUCGUGGGGGAUAACGUAGGGAAACUUACGCUAAUACCGCAUACGACCUACGGGUGAAAGCAGGGGAUCUUCGGACCUUGCGCGAUUGAAUGAGCCGAUGUCGGAUUAGCUAGUUGGCGGGGUAAAGGCCCACCAAGGCGACGAUCCGUAGCUGGUCUGAGAGGAUGAUCAGCCACACUGGAACUGAGACACGGUCCAGACCCCUACGGGAGGCAGCAGUGGGGAAUAUUGGACAAUGGGCGCAAGCCUGAUCCAGCCAUACCGCGUGGGUGAAGAAGGCCUUCGGGUUGUAAAGCCCUUUUGUUGGGAAAGAAAAGCAGCAGGUUAAUACCCCGCUGUUCUGACGGUACCCAAAGAAUAAGCACCGGCUAACUUCGUG